GUGGUUUAAUUCGAAGCAACGCGCAGAACCUUACCAGUCCUUGACAUGGGGAGUUUGGUUUCCGGAGACGGAUUCCUUCAGUUCGGCUGGCUCCCACACAGGUGCUGCAUGGCUGUCGUCAGCUCGUGUCGUGAGAUGUUCGGUUAAGUCCGGCAACGAGCGCAACCCACAUCCUUAGUUGCCAGCAGUUCGGCUGGGCACUCUAGGGAAACUGCCCGUGAUAAGCGGGAGGAAGGUGUGGAUGACGUCAAGUCCUCAUGGCCCUUACGGGUUGGGCUACACACGUGCUACAAUGGCAUCUACAGUGGGCAGCUAUCACGCGAGUGUGAGCUAAUCUCCAAAAGAUGUCUCAGUUCGGAUUGUUCUCUGCAACUCGAGAGCAUGAAGGCGGAAUCGCUAGUAAUCGCGGAUCAGCAUGCCGCGGUGAAUACGUUCCCAGGCCUUGUACACACCGCCCGUCACACCAUGGAAGUUGGCCACGCCCGAAGCCGUUACUCCAACCCUUGUGGAGGAGGACGUCGAAGGUGGGGCUGAUGACUGGGGUGAAGUCGUAACAAGGUAGCCGUAUCGGAAGGUGCGGCUGGAUCACCUCCUU
RNAcentral lists this ribosomal RNA (595 nucleotides) under Pteridomonas danica. RNAcentral's name for it is "partial Bacterial small subunit ribosomal RNA". It matches the Rfam family "Bacterial small subunit ribosomal RNA", at positions 941 to 1532 of the family's 1533-position model. The record is from RNAcentral. Lineage: Eukaryota; Dictyochophyceae; Pedinellales.